UNUGACUUGAGUGCAGAAGGGGAGAGUGGAAUUCCAUGUGUAGCGGUGAAAUGCGUAGAUAUAUGGAGGAACACCAGUGGCGAAAGCGGCUCUCUGGUCUGUCACUGACGCUGAGGCUCGAAAGCGUGGGUAGCGAACAGGAUUAGAUACCCUGGUAGUCCACGCCGUAAACGAUGAGUGCUAGGUGUUAGGCCCUUUCCGGGGCUUAGUGCCGGAGCUAACGCAAUAAGCACUCCGCCUGGGGAGUACGACCGCAAGGUUGAAACUCAAAGGAAUUGACGGGGGCCCGCACAAGCGGUGGAGCAUGUGGUUUAAUUCGAAGCAACGCGAAGAACCUUACCAGGUCUUGACAUCCCGAUGCUAUUCUUAGAGAUAGGAAGUUACUUCGGUACAUCGGAGACAGGUGGUGCAUGGUUGUCGUCAGCUUGUGUCGUGAGAUGAUGGGUUAAGUCCCGCAACGAGCGCAACCCUUAUUGUUAGUUGCCAUCAUUAAGUUGGGCACUCUAGCGAGACUGCCGGUAAUAAACCGGAGGAAGGUGGGGAUGACGUCAAAUCAUCAUGCCCCUUAUGACCUGGGCUACACACGUGCUACAAUGGUCGGUACAACGAGUUGCGAGCCGGUGACGGCAAGCUAAUCUCUGAAAGCCGAUCUCAGUUCGGAUUGGAGGCUGCAACUCGCCUCCAUGAAGUCGGAAUCGCUAGUAAUCGCGGAUCAGCACGCCGCGGUGAAUACGUUCCCGGGCCUUGUACACACCGCCCGUCACACCACGAGAGUUUGUAACACCCGAAGUCGGUGAGGUAACCUUUUAGGGGCCAGCC
Molecule: ribosomal RNA, 819 nt
Filed under: uncultured bacterium
Lineage: Bacteria
Description: bacterial SSU rRNA
Rfam family: Bacterial small subunit ribosomal RNA
Source: RNAcentral